Molecule: long non-coding RNA, 1120 nt
Filed under: Homo sapiens (human)
Lineage: Eukaryota; Metazoa; Chordata; Mammalia; Primates; Hominidae
Description: HSALNT0361426
Source: RNAcentral
GCCAUUUUGAAUUGCCAAGGCUGGAGACCAAAAAUAUUGAGAAGUCUUAAAACAAUGGCCCCUUAAAUUUGUACAUUUGACAAAGAGGAGAGGGUGCUACCAUUUACUGAGCACCUACUCUGUGCAAAACUCUUUCAAGUGGUCACUUCUCUUAGUCCUCACAGUAGUCCCAUGAAGGAGGACGUUAUCUUAGCCCAUUUUACAGAUGAGAAACCUGGGUCUCAGAGAUACUAAUGAAAGUAACCCAGGGCCAGCAAGGAGUGGACACUGGGUCUGAAUUCACAUUGAACUGGUUCCAAAACCCUGCCUUUCUGAACUACAGCGCCCCUCCAGAGAGCAUGUUCAUGUUCAUUAUGGUGGGCGGCCUUGACUCAUACUUGACAUGGAUGUCCCAGAGAUUCCCUACACACAGCUUUCAAUACUGAAGAUGGAGCUCUCUGUCCCCGGGUGGGGCCGCAGCAUCACAGUGCCUGUGGGAAGGCUGGGCAGACUGAAAUAAAAGGGAUUUCUGCCUGCUCCUUCUCUUACACUAAGAUGCAGAACCUGAUGCCCAGCAAAGGGGAAAGGAUAGCAGGAGCCUUGAUCCACCCAGGAAGAGGUGCCAGCUGGAUCAGCAAGAGGCUGGUGGAGAACAAGAAGCUGCUAUGAACCAAUCUUUAGAAAACAGCAGGAUCUCCGAGGAGAGAAAGAAUUUCUCUCCAGCCAAAAGCUUCAUGAGAUGGAAGGGGAUAUCCUAUCUCCUAUAUUGUAUCCUCAUCAUGGUCUCAAUAAACCCACUUGGAAGAUGCCCAUGCAUGAGCGUCGACGGUGACUUCCCGAGGCUGGACGGCGAUCCUUCCCACUGCAGAAGGCGGGGUGCUGAGCACUGUGCUGGGGCUUUCUGUGCACCAUCUUCAUUUGGUGCAUUUUGAGGGGUCAUUCAUUCUAUCAACAUCUCAUUAUAGAAGGCAGAGUUCAGAGAAAUUAGGAUGGCUGCCCAAGGUCACCUAACUACUCUGAGAAAGAGCUGACAUUCAAAUCUAGGCCCCUGAGCCUGAGCUUUCCACAUGACACUGUAGCAUCUUUCAACAAUCAGAGGACAAUCUAGGCAAGUCAAUUAUUGUAGGUAUGUGGCUCCCCA